This 464-nucleotide ribosomal RNA is filed under the name Parvimonas micra. RNAcentral describes it as "bacterial SSU rRNA". It matches the Rfam family "Bacterial small subunit ribosomal RNA", at positions 28 to 494 of the family's 1533-position model. The record is from RNAcentral. Lineage: Bacteria; Bacillati; Bacillota; Tissierellia; Tissierellales; Peptoniphilaceae.
GACGAACGCUGGCGGCGUGCUUAACACAUGCAAGUCGAACGUGAUUUUUGUGGAAAUUCUUUCGGGAAUGGAAAUGAAAUGAAAGUGGCGAACGGGUGAGUAACACGUGAGCAACCUACCUUACACAGGGGGAUAGCCGUUGGAAACGACGAUUAAUACCGCAUGAAACCACAGAAUCGCAUGAUAUAGGGGUCAAAGAUUUAUCGGUGUAAGAAGGGCUCGCGUCUGAUUAGCUAGUUGGAAGGGUAAAGGCCUACCAAGGCGACGAUCAGUAGCCGGUCUGAGAGGAUGAACGGCCACAUUGGAACUGAGACACGGUCCAAACUCCUACGGGAGGCAGCAGUGGGGAAUAUUGCACAAUGGGGGGAACCCUGAUGCAGCGACGCCGCGUGAGCGAAGAAGGUUUUCGAAUCGUAAAGCUCUGUCCUAUGAGAAGAUAAUGACGGUAUCAUAGGAGAAGCCCG